Molecule: ribosomal RNA, 292 nt
Filed under: uncultured bacterium
Lineage: Bacteria
Description: partial 16S ribosomal RNA
Rfam family: Bacterial small subunit ribosomal RNA
Source: RNAcentral
GUGCCAGCAGCCGCGGUAAUACGGAGGGUGCAAGCGUUAUCCGGAUUCACUGGGUUUAAAGGGAGCGUAGGCGGGCAUUUAAGUCCGUGGUGAAAGCCCUCAGCUCAACUGAGGAACUGCCAUGGAUACUAUUUGUCUUGAAUGUCGUUGAGGUUUGCGGAAUGGGUCAUGUAGCGGUGAAAUGCUUAGAUAUGACCCGGAACACCAAUUGCGAAGGCAGCAGGCUAAACGAAUAUUGACGCUGAGGCUCGAAAGCGUGGGGAUCAAACAGGAUUAGAAACCCGAGUAGUCC